GGACUGAAGCCUACUUAUACUUCUUUAUAAGAGGAUGCAGAUGAGUGAAAACUAUAGAAAUGGCAGAAUGGUAAGGACUCAGACUGCUAACUUUGCUGCUGGAUUUGAAAAUGGGGACUAACACCACAAGGUGAGGAAUGAAAGCAGCCUUGAGAUGUUAGAAAAGCCAAGGUUAUGGAUUCUCUUCUCGUUCUCCCAAGAGGAAUGCAGCCCUGUUGACACCUCGAUUUUAGCCCAGUGAAACCUGUUUCAGACUCCUGACUUCAGAAUGAUUUGCAUGGAAACAUUGGCUUUUACUGGUUCUCGAGCUUACCAGCCUCUGGACUGGACCUUGCAGAUUUUGGAAGGUACUGACCUCUCUGUAGAAAGACCUUGAUCAUCUCUCUUCCUCAGGGUAUUAUGUUGGUUCAUGACAUUGAUGACCUUCAUGCUGAUGGCCCUUAGUAAGAAGCAGCAACUUUUCUAGACUUAAUGAAACAGCACAUGGAUAAAGCUUUAUCAAGCAUAAGGGUGAGAACGUGGAGGGAGCAUCUCAGUCGAGGACACAUCAAGCCAGCAUUCUCCAGAGGCGUUGUUUUUCAUAUUUUAAGUAUGUGAAAUAUUCAGUUUACCAAAAGGCUCGUGCUCCAAUUUUGCAUUUUUUGAAACUCAUAGUACAGUGUAUUACAUAAAAAGCAUGUAAUUUUCCUUUAUGGACCACAGUGUAUUCAGGAAGGGGAUAAAACAUUACAAGCUGUUCUGAUCACUGAAAGGCAAUUCCAGCAAUUUUUGUCCCGAAAUUUGCUGAAAAGGAAACAUGGAAGCCUGUGGAACACUUAUGUCCCCAGUUGUAGCUAUGUUGGUUAUGCAGCAUGCACAGAGAAAGAAAACUAGAGACUCAAAAGUAAUUUUCCUCCCAGUUGUAUCUUUGAACAACAUAGGCACGGAGGAUAUUGAAGUUCAAGGAAAACUUCCUGCUCUCAAAUAUUCCAGAGAUAAGCCUUCUCAUUUGGAAAUGCAUUGGACAUUUACAGGUAUACAUAUUUCAAUUCAAUAAACAUGUGUUGGCUUCUUACAUAGUUCCAGGAAAUAUAUAGGUAUAUUUUGUACUUAAUUGCCAUAUAUUCAUAAUGUUUUAUAGAAAAUACUGAUGAGAAUAUUCCGAAAUGCCACGUUAGUUUACUUGUAAGUCAAAAAUCAUUAAUUGUUUACUUAAUGGUGUGAAUGUUUGUGUCCAAGUCAUCAUACAGAAUGAAGCGAACAUAAGCAUUUGCCUAAAUGGAUAAAAUCAGGUACUCAACAUACACA
Molecule: long non-coding RNA, 1287 nt
Organism: Dama dama (fallow deer)
Lineage: Eukaryota; Metazoa; Chordata; Mammalia; Artiodactyla; Cervidae
Exons: 4
Source: RefSeq, a predicted model, not a curated record